AAACCGUUACCAUUACUGAAUUU
RNAcentral lists this microRNA (23 nucleotides) under Gekko japonicus. RNAcentral's name for it is "Gja-Mir-451_5p (mature (guide))". The record is from RNAcentral. Lineage: Eukaryota; Metazoa; Chordata; Lepidosauria; Squamata; Gekkonidae.